Molecule: ribosomal RNA, 252 nt
Filed under: uncultured bacterium
Lineage: Bacteria
Description: partial 16S ribosomal RNA
Rfam family: Bacterial small subunit ribosomal RNA
Source: RNAcentral
UACGUAGGUCCCGAGCGUUGUCCGGAUUUAUUGGGCGUAAAGCGAGCGCAGGUGGUUUAUUAAGUCUGGUGUAAAAGGCAGUGGCUCAACCAUUGUAUGCAUUGGAAACUGGUAGACUUGAGUGCAGGAGAGGAGUGUGGAAUUCCAUGUGUAGCGGUGAAAUGCGUAGAUAUAUGGAGGAACACCGGUGGCGAAAGCGGCUCUCUGGCCUGUAACAGACACUGAGGCUCGAAAGCGUGGGGAGCAAACAGG